This 490-nucleotide ribosomal RNA is filed under the name uncultured bacterium. Its description in RNAcentral is "partial 16S ribosomal RNA". It matches the Rfam family "Bacterial small subunit ribosomal RNA", at positions 30 to 507 of the family's 1533-position model. The record is from RNAcentral.
AUUGAACGCUGGCGGCAGGCCUAACACAUGCAAGUCGAACGGUAACAGGAAGCAGCUUGCUGCUUCGCUGACGAGUGGCGGACGGGUGAGUAAUGUCUGGGAAGCUGCCUGAUGGAGGGGGAUAACUACUGGAAACGGUAGCUAAUACCGCAUAAUGUCGCAAGACCAAAGAGGGGGACCUUCGGGCCUCUUGCCAUCUGAUGUGCCCAGAUGGGAUUAGCUUGUUGGUGGGGUAACGGCUCACCAAGGCGACGAUCCCUAGCUGGUCUGAGAGGAUGACCAGCCACACUGGGACUGAGACACGGUCCAGACUCCUACGGGAGGCAGCAGUGGGGAAUAUUGCACAAUGGGCGCAAGCCUGAUGCAGCCAUGCCGCGUGUAUGAAGAAGGCCUUCGGGUUGUAAAGUACUUUCAGCGGGGAGGAAGGGAGUAAAGUUAAUACCUUUGCUCAUUGACGUUACCCGCAGAAGAAGCACCGGCUAACUCCGUG